Molecule: ribosomal RNA, 623 nt
Organism: Selaginella moellendorffii
Lineage: Eukaryota; Viridiplantae; Streptophyta; Lycopodiopsida; Selaginellales; Selaginellaceae
Rfam family: Eukaryotic large subunit ribosomal RNA
Source: Rfam
CCCGCUGAGUUUAAGCAUAUCACUAAGCGGAGGAAAAGAAACUAACAAGGAUUUCCCUAGUAGCGGCGAGCGAAACGGAAAGAGCCCAGCUUGGAAAUCGGGGUGUCUCUGCACCCCGAAUUGUAGUCUGGAGAAGGGUCCUCUGCAGCGGACCGGGUUUAAGUCCCUUGGAACGGGACGCCAGAGAGGGUGAGAGCCCCGUCUAGCCCGGACCCUGCUGCAUCACGAGGCUCUUUCGGCGAGUCGGGCUGUUUGGGAAUGCAGCCUUAAGUGGGUGGUAAAUUCCAUCCAAGGCUAAAUACUGGUGAGAGACCGAUAGCGCACAAGUACCGCGAGGGAAAGAUGAAAAGGACUUUGAAAAGAGAGUUAAAAAGUGCUUGAAAUUGCUGGGAGGGAAGCGAAUGGAUGCCUUGUGCGCCCCUUGGUUGUGUGUGGAACGGCGAGAGCUGGUCUGCCAAGCAAUGCAAGGGGCUGUCCAGCAUGGGAGGACGCGGCGGGAUAACGGCUUGUGAGCCUCUGGCUCCCUGCCAAUGCCGCCGCUGCCUCUGAAAAUGGCGGGGUGCUCCGGUGCCCCGCCAGAUGCUGGAACUUGGGCGUUCCAUCCGACCCGUCUUGAAACACGG